RNAcentral lists this long non-coding RNA (30406 nucleotides) under Triticum aestivum (bread wheat). Its description in RNAcentral is "long non-coding RNA (TAES_LNC003267)". Lineage: Eukaryota; Viridiplantae; Streptophyta; Magnoliopsida; Poales; Poaceae. The record is from RNAcentral.
CUGCUGUCACUAACAUUUUGCAGGAGUUCGCUGACGUCUUUCCACAAGACGUGCCACCGGGAUUACCUCCCAUUCGAGGGAUUGAGCAUCAGAUUGACUUAAUUCCCGGUGCAUCCUUACCCAACCGUGCACCAUACCGUACCAAUCCAGAGGAGACGAAGGAGAUUAUGCGUCAAGUACAGGAGCUGCUCGACAAAGGUUAUAUACGCGAAUCCCUUAGUCCUUGUGUUGUUCCUAAUAUUCUAGUGCCGAAAAAGGAUGGUACAUCACGUAUGUGUGUUGAUUGUAGAGGCAUUAAUAAUAUUACUAUUCGUUAUCGUCAUCCUAUUCCUAGGCUGGAUGAUAUGCUUGAUGAAUUGAGUGGCUCUACAAUAUUCUCCAAAGUUGAUUUGCGUAGUGGAUACCAUCAAAUUCUUAUGAAAUUGGGAGAUGAAUGGAAAACAGCAUUUAAAACUAAGUUUGGAUUAUAUGAGUGGUUAGUCAUGCCUUUUGGGUUAACUAAUGCACCUAGUACUUUCAUGAGAUUAAUGAACGAAGUUUUACGUGCUUUCAUUGGACGAUUUGUGGUAGUUUACUUUGAUGACAUAUUAAUUUAUAGCAUAUCUUUGGAGGAACAUUUGGAAGAUUUACGUGCUGUUUUAUUGCUCUACGUGAUGCACGUUUGUUUGGUAACCUUGGGAAGUGCACCUUUUGCACCGACCGAGUAUCUUUUCUUGGCUAUGUUGUUACUCCACAGGGAAUUGAAGUUGACAAAGCCAAGAUUGAAGCUAUUGAGAGUUGGCCACAGCCCAAAACUGUCACACAAGUGAGGAGUUUUCUUGGCCUCGCUGGAUUCUAUAGGCGUUUUUGAGAGAUUUCAGCACCAUUGCUGCACCUCUCAACGAGCUUACAAAGAAGGAUGUGCCUUUUGUUUGGGGUACCACAUAGGAAGAAGCCUUCACGGUAUUGAAAGAUAAGUUGACACAUGCUCCUUUACUCCAACUUCCUGAUUUUAAUAGGACUUUUGAGCUUGAAUGUGAUGCUAGUGGAAUUGGAUUAGGAAGUGUGUUAUUACAAGAUGGCAAACCUGUUGCAUACUUUUCUAAAAAAUUGAGUGGGCCUAGUCUGAAUUAUUCUACUUAUGAUAAAGAAUUAUAUGCUCUUGUUCAGACUUUAGAAACAUGGCAACAUUAUUUAUGGCCCAAAGAAUUUGUUAUACAUUCUGAUCAUGAAUCUUUGAAACAUAUUAAAAGUCAAGCUAAACUGAAUCAUAGACAUGCUAAAUGGGUUGAAUUCAUUGAGACUUUCCCUUAUGUCAGUAAACACAAGAAGGGUAAAGAAAAUGUUAUUGUUGAUGCAUUGUCUCGUCGCUAUACUAUGCUUUCACAACUUGACUUCAAAAUAUUUGGUUUGGAGACCAUAAAAGAUCAAUAUGUGCAUGAUGCUGAUUUUAAAGGUGUAUUGCAGAAUUGUAAAGAAGGAAGAACAUGGAACAAGUUCGUCGUUAAUGAUGGAUUUUUGUUCCGUGCUAACAAGCUAUGCAUUCCAGCUAGCUCCAUUCGUCGUUUGUUGUUGCAGGAGGCGCAUGGAGGAGGACUAAUGGGACACUUUGGCGUGAAGAAGACGGAGGAUGUACUUGCUACAAAUUUCUUUUGGCCAAAGAUGAGACGGGAUAUUGAGCGUUUUAUUGCUCGCUGCACUACAUGUCAAAAAGCUAAGUCACGACUCAAUCCUCAUGGUUUAUAUAUGCCUUUGCCUGUACCUAGUGUUCCUUGGGAGGAUAUAUCUAUGGACUUUGUUUUAGGUUUACCUAGAACAAAGAAGGGGAGGGAUAGCAUAUUUGUUGUCGUGGAUAGAUUCUCGAAAAUGGCACACUUUAUACGAUGUCAUAAAAGCGAUGAUGCUGUUAAUGUUGCUGAUUUGUUCUUUCGUGAAAUUAUUCGCUUGCAUGGUGUGCCAAAUACUAUUGUUUCUGAUCGUGAUACUAAAUUUCUUAGCUACUUUUGGAGAUGUUUAUGGGCUAAGUUGGGGACUAAACUGCUUUUUAGUACUACUUGUCACCCCCAAACUGAUGGACAAACUGAAGUAGUCAAUAGAACAUUGUCUACUAUGCUUAGGGCUGUUUUGAAGAAUAAUAAGAAAAUGUGGGAGGAAUGCUUGCCUCAUAUUGAAUUUGCUUAUAAUCGUUCAUUGCAUUCUACUACUAAGAUGUGCCCUUUUGAAGUUGUGUAUGGUUUCCUACCUCGUGCACCUAUUGAUUUGUUGCCUCUUCCAUCUUCGGAGAAGGUUAAUUUUGAUGCUAAACAACGUGCUGAAUUGAUUUUAAAAAUGCAUGAGUUAACUAAGGAAAACAUAGAACGUAUGAAUGCUAAAUAUAAACUUGCUGGAGAUAAGGGUAGAAAACAUGUUGUGUUUGCACCUGGAGAUCUUGUUUGGUUACAUUUGCGUAAGGAUAGAUUUCCUGAGUUGCGCAAAUCAAAGCUAAUGCCACGUGCUGAUGGUCCCUUUAAGGUGUUGGAAAAAAUAAAUGAUAAUGCAUAUAAACUUGAGCUGCCUGCAGAUUUUGGGGUUAGUCCCACUUUUAACAUUGCAGAUUUGAAGCCUUAUUUGGGUGAGGAAGAUGAACUUCCGUCGAGGACGACUUCAUUUCAAGAAGGGGAGGAUGAUGAGGACAUCAAUACCAUUGUUACACCCACAGCCCCUGCUGCUAUACAUACUGGACCAAUUACUAGAGCUCACGCACGCCAACUAAAUUACCAGGUACUUUCGUUUCUUGGUAAUGAUUCUAAUGUUCAUGAGAAUAUGAUGCUGCCUAAAUUGGAUACAUUUGUUUUGCUUACAAAUGAAGGGCCUAGCUUGGAGAAGGAUGAACAUUGGAGCAAGAACAAGCAUGGAGAUGAUGGCAUGCGCAAGGGGAACAAGAACGGAGUUACAAGUGAUGAUUUCAGGACUUUGAAGCCACCAUAAUGAGUACAUGAAGCCUUGGACGAAAUAUACAAGAUGCCACUUCAUAAACUUCGUCCAGAGGCUGUUCUAGGUGCUGUGUCACCUUAUUAUUGGGCCAGGCCCAUGUAAUUUCGAAAUACAUAAGUAUAGGCUGUUUUUAGAGUCCGUAUGUGUGGGGAAACAAGAGAUAGGGUUGGUUUCGGACCCCUUCCCCAAGGGCCACGAAAUCCCCCCCCCCUCUUUCUCCAUAUAUACAGCCCUUAGGGCACUGUUUAGACUGGGGGUUUUGCUUAGAAUAAAAGUUCGCCAUAGCUGCAACUUCGUGCACUUCGUUUGUGUUCAACGACCAGACCAAGGCGUCACAGAACCCCACCUUGAUCAAUAAAGCUUUCAUCUUAUAUUUGCAAUAUCCAGAUUGCAAUCUCAGUUUCUUGCUUGUUCUUCGUUUGCUCACAGGAAACAGACCCUCGUGGUCAGGUUGAUCGUGCUCUGGCAUGGUCAAUAUCCUCUCGGCGUUGGUUUAGCGAUUGCUAAGGCGUGACGUCCUCGCACGUUCGUAGUCGGAUCGUCAAAGUCGAUUUCCACCAAAGCGAUAUCCAUCAUCUCAUCGAAAGACGGGACACCUUUGCCUCUAUCAUGAGUGAACUUGAUUCAUCAUCAACAUCGGUCAAAGGUACAUUGGUAUAAGUUCUUCUCCUUCUACCACUCACAUAUUUUGCUUGGAAUGAUGGAUAGGCCAAGUACUUCUACCAACCCACUCUUCCUCGAGCAAGACGAUGACAUGUCUUCAUACGUCACCAAGAGCCACCUCUUUGGUGCACAAAGAGCGUUGCACCAAGAGCAACAAGCAAUGAGCGACCGCAUCGACAACCUCGCCACCGACUUACGACUCUCCGUGCAACGUACAAGAGACUACUUUGACAACAAGUUCGACGCUCACAAGCAACGGAAUGAUGCAAGAAUGGACGAGAUCCGCGCCUUGAUGAGGAACCGGCAUCAUUCCACUUCUUCAUCCUCAAGACGGAGCCGCUCGAGUCGACACUCCGACGACACCUUCUACGACUCAAGUACACCAUCAUCAAACACUCUUUGACGAGCCGCGCGUCAAGACCGUCAUGCAUCUCGCAACCCGCUACAUGACAAGCAUUCACAAGAGCAAGUCGAUGAGAAAGUCCCUCGUCCUCAAUCAAACCAAGCCGCUUUUGCCCAAGCUCAAGAACGACAACGACUACGGCGCCAAGAGGAAGGACGAGUGCGUCUACACCAAGAAGAACAAGACGCCGAGGCGCAACGUCUUCAACGACAACAACGAGAAGCGCAAGCUCUUGAGGCGCAACGUGCCCUUCAAGAAUCAAGUCGAGCCAUCGCCAACUGCAAUCGCGAACGGCGCACUCAAGAAGAAGCCCUUCGAGAAGAAAUACAAGAGAGGAACUAUCAACCGCACGUGCAACGUCAAGUUCCUCUAGCUCCUCAAGCCCCACCUCAACCUCAAGUUCAACAAGAGCAAGUUGAUCAUGGACUUCCUCCACGCCAUUAGCAACAGGAAGAUGAUUGUCAUCCACGUCAAGGGCGUCAUCAUCACCAUCGCCAACAACACAAUGAAGAGCAACGAUAUGGAAAGCUCAAAUUCACCAUGCCCAAGUUCAAUGGAAGCAAUGACCCCGAAGAAUAUCUCUCAUGGGCAUUGAAGGUCGACAAAAUCUUUCAUUUGCACAACUAUGAUGAAGAGAAGAAAAUCGCCAUGGCAUCACUUGAGUCCCAAGACUAUGUGCUCAUAUGGUGGGAACAAAUCCUUGAGAGGCGACAAGCAAGAGCUGAACCCCCAAUCAUCACUUGAGCUCAAAUGAAGGAUGUGAUGCAAGCACGUUUUGUGCCAACCUACUACAACCGCGACCUCUUCAAAAAACUCCAACUCCUCAAGCAAGGAACAAAGAGUGUCGAAGAAUACUACAAGGAAAUGGAGAUAGCCAUGAUUCGAGCCAAUGUCAAGGAAGAUGAUGAACAAACAAUUGCACGUUUCUUGAAUGGAGUCAAUCAUCCCAUCAAGAAGAUCGCCGACUUCCAACCAUACACCACCCUCAUUGAGCUCGUGCGUCAAGCUACAAAGGCGGAACGUCAAGUGCAAGAUGACUUCAAGUACGCCAAGUACUCGUCCAAGACCUACGGCUUCUCCAACAACCAAGCUUCAACACCUCCUCCAACAUCUACAUCAACCAAACCUUCUCCAAACAACGACGACAAGCCAAGUUACAAGAAAAAUUCGACAAGUUCAAGUCGUCCUCCUCCUACUACGAGCAACUUCAAGCCGCGUGCUUCGUCAUCUACUCCGACCGAUGAGACCGUCAAGACAAGCUCCUUCAAGUGUUUCACUUGCGGCGGCCGAGGCCACAAGUCCUACGAAUGCACCAACAAGCGCACCAUGAUCCUCAACGACGAUGGCACCUAUGACUCAAUGAGUGAUGAGGAGAUGGAAGCUCUUGAGCAAGUGGCCAUGCACCGGUGAGUGAACAAAGAUGAAGAUGAUCAAGUCGUUUGUGAUGAGGAUUUGAGCCCCGCUCUCGUUGUUUCCAAGGUCUUGACUCUUCAACAUCCACAAGAAGACGACCAAAGAUGCCACAUCUUCCACACAAAGGCCGGCAUCAAUGGACGGUCCGUCAAGGUCAUCAUCGAUGGAGGUAGUUGCCACAACUUGGCAAGUGAAGAACUAUGCUCCAAGCUUCAAUUAGUCAAGAGGAAGCACCCACACCCCUACAAGGUUCAAUGGCUAAGUGACUCCGGCACUAUACGAGUUGAGCAUACGGUCCAAGUCUCCUUCAAAAUUGGUGCAUAUGAGGACACUUUGGAAUGUGAUGUGGUCCCAAUGACGGUUUGCCACCUCCUUCUUGGUCGACCAUGGCAAUUCGACCGUGGUGUCUUCCACAAUGGACGUACCAAUCACUCUAGCUUCAAGAUGAAAGGGAAGGAAUACGUGCUACGACCUAUGUCUCCUAGUCAAGUGUUAGCCGACAAGCAAACCACCCAUCAUGGAGAGAAGAGUGAUAAAGUGAUCCACCACAAAGUGAGUGAGAGCCACAAGCCAAACUUGAGCGCCUCUUCGCCUAGAGAGAAAAACCUCAUCCUAUUUGCCACCAAAAGUGAGAUGAGAGAAGUGUGUGAGAACCCAUCAAGUGUGAUGCACUUUGUCCUUGUGUGCAAGGAUGGAGAGCCAACAACUAACACCUCUCAUGAGCUACCUUUUGUGUUUCAAUCUCUUCUGCAGGAAUUCCAAAAUGUUUUCCCCGAUGAGCUACCUCCGGGUCUACCUCCUCUUCGAGGCAUUAAGCAUUGAAUCGACCUCAUCCCCGGAGCGCCUCUACCAAACAAAGCUCCAUACCGGGUCAAUCCCGAAGAAACCAAGGAGAUUCAACAUCAAGUACAACAACUCAUCGACAACGGUCAUGUACGUGAAAGCUUAAGCCCUUGUGCCGUUCCCGUUAUACUUGUGCCUAAGCCCGAUGGAAGUUUCCGCUCGUGUUCCGAUUGUAGACCCAUCAAUGCUAUUACUGUUCGCUAUAGGCAUCCCAUUCCUCGCUUAGAUGAUAUGCUUGAUGAACUUACUGGAGCCAACUUUUUCUCAAAAAUUGAUCUUAAAAGUGGCUAUUAUCAAAUCCGCAUUCAAGAAGGUGAUGAAUGGAAAACUGCUUUCAAAACCAAAUUUGGUUUAUAUGAGUGGUUAGUCAUGACUAUGGGUUUAUCGGAAGCUCCCGGUACUUUUGUGCGUCUCAUGCAUUUUGUGCUUCGGCCUUAUAUUGGAGUCUUUGUUGUGGUUUACUUUGACGAUAUUCUUGUGUUUAGCAAAACCAUGAUAGAGCAUCUUGAUCAUGUUAGGGCUGUUUUGCAAACCCUUCGCAAGGAAAGUCUAUAUGCAAACAUGAAAAAUGCAUAUUUGGUGUUGACAAAGUGGUUUUCUUGGGUUUUGUUGUAUCCUCAAAGGUCAAACUAAGUUGAACAAGCGUCAUGGCAAAUGGAGUGAAUUUAUUGAAUCUUUUCCCUAUGUGAUCAAGUACAUUAAGGGUAAAGAAAAUGUAGUUGCCGAUGCACUUUCACGCAUAUGCACGCUUGUCACUAAACUUGAGUUGAAUGUUAUUGGCUUUGAGCACAUAAAAGACUGGUAUGCUAAUGAUUCAUCUUUUGCUAUUCCUCAUGCUAAGUGUUUGACGUAUACUUCUUGGGAACAAUAUACAUCAAAGAUGGUUAUGUUAUGAGAGCUCGCAAACUAUGUAUUCCCGAGUCUUCUCUUCGUUUGCUCCUUGUGCAAGAGGCUCAUGGAGGCGGACUCAUGGGACACUUUGGACGCGACAAGACAUUCGCCACGCUCUCCAAGAACUACUUUUGGCCCAACAUGUUCCGCGACGUCUCACGCUUCACCAACUGAUGCUCUACAUGUCGCAAAGCUAAGUCUAAAGCUCAAUCUCAUGGUCUUUACAUGCCUCUUCCUAUUCCUUAUCAACCUUGGGAAGACAUUAGCAUGGAUUUUGUACUUGGUUUGCCUAGAACUCAAAAUGGAAAGGAUUCCGUGUUUGUUGUUGUGGAUAGAUUUUCUAAGAUGGCACAUUUCAUUCCUUGCAACAAGAUAGACGAUGCUUCACACAUUGCAAAUCUCUUUUGUAGGGAAAUCUUGCGACUCCAUGGAGUACCAAAGACAAUCGUCUCCGGUCGUGACGUCAAGUUCUUGAGUUACUUUUGGAAGACCCUAUGCGCCAAGCUCGGAAUGAAGCUCAUGUUCUCAUCAGCAUACCAUCCUCAAACCGACGGCCAAACGGAGGUGACGAACUGCACACUCUCCAGUCUACUUCGCGUCUUGAUUAAGAAGAACAUCAAGGAGUGGGAGGCAUGUCUACCCAUCGCCGAGUACGCCUACAAUCGUGCAAGACAUUCGACUACCGGCAAGUCCCCCUUCGAGGUCGUCUACGGCUUGAACCCGUUGUCCCCAUUGGACAUUCUACCUCUUCCUCUACGGCUUCUUCUAUGGCUAGCACGCUACAACGACAACGCCUACAAGAUCGACCAACCUCGAGACAAGUACAAUGUGAGCGACAUCUUCAACAUCAAGGACCUUGCACCAUACCAUGGAGAUGAAGCUUUUGAUCCGAGGUCGGAUCUCUCUCAAGGGGGGGGGGAGAUGAUGCGGAGCAUCCCUCACUCAUCCCCAUGGUCGCACCUACAUCUUCCUCAACACCACGUGGACCCAUGACUCGAGCCCGAGCUAAGGCUAUCAAAGAAAAGGUGAACUCGCUCCUCUCCGAGCUCCCUCUUCCUACUCACGGGACAUGGAUACUACCUCAUUCGGAAACUCUAUUUGUAAUCAGGUACAUGUAGAUGAGCCAAGGGAGAACUACCUGCAAGAGCCAAGACGACGAGGACCCCAAGCAUGUUGAAGAAGAAGAAGAGAAGCUACUGAAGCUACAGGCAUCGGACGUCCGACCAAGUCCGUACGUCCUACGACUCCCAGGCCACGGACGACCGACGCCCUCCGGACGUCCGGCAGCUGGGCACCCGAAUGGAAACUCACAGACGACCGAAGCCUCCGGACAUCAGAUCAAUGCACGCCCGAACCGAAUCUACGGACGUCCGAAGGCCAUCGAACGUCCGGACACUCGCGAACCUCCGGACGACCGGUGACUUCUGGACGUCCGACGCCUGUGUGUUGACUUUUAUUGGGCCGCAGCCCUUGUACCCCUUUGCUCCCUAGACUAUAUAUACUCUUUCUUCCCCACCUUUCUAGGGUUAGCAAUAGUUUAGCUCAUGUUUGUGUGAGAGCUCUGCUCAUCCACUUGGUUACCUUCUCCUCGGAGCUCAGGACCUCUACGGAGAAGAUCCCCCAAGCGGAUUCAAGACCACCUUCUAGGGUGGACCCCAUCAAGACCUCCUCACGGAGAAGAACGGCUACUCCUGUAUCUUUCCUUUGUUGAUUUUGAAUCUUGUGCUACCUUAUGUGUUCGAUGAUCUAGCCCUUGUGUGAUCGAUACUUGUCGGUUUCGUGUUCCUCUUGUGUGUUUUCCUUGUGUUCUUCCGCUCGUUCGUCGUGUUCUCCCCGUAGGAUCCCCUCCAAACGUGAAAGAUCCCCGAUUAGGGUUCCGCCCUACAUCAGCUAUGCCUCCUUAGGUAUGAAGAGGAACAUCACCAAGACACUCAGGAGCAUCACCAAGGAGUGGGAGGACCACCCCGAGGCCACGCAACCCAAGAAGAAGGGCAACAACAGCUGCACAGGAAGCUCCAGGCGACCUCGUGCGCAUGGCCCCCCGAGACCCCGUGCCCACGGGCUACUCAGGGAGUUGGCGCUGGAGCACCCCGUGCGCAUGGGCCCAACUUACCCCGGGCGCACGGGCCUCCCAGGAUGGUCGGCUGAGAUCACUUCUUCGGCUCCUCUUCAUCUCCUUCGACCCCUAUGCUAUAUAUUCCGUACCAAGGACCAAGUUAGGGUUAGCAAAGUAUUAGAUGAGAUAUUUGUGAGCUUUGCUCCUUUCUACCUUCCCUUGUGGAAUCAAGACCCCUUAGGGAAGAAUCCUUGUGGAUUUCAAGUCCUCCUCAAGGAGUAGUGAUGCGGAGCAUCCGACGAUCAUCCCCAUGUACACUCGAGCCUACGUCAUUGGACCUAAGGUGAACCCUCUCCUAAAUGCUUCUCCUUUCCAUUCAUGUGAGACAUGGUUACUACCUAAUGCAAGGACACUACACAUGCCUAGGUACCAAGGAGACCCUCUCGGAGAUGCUCGGAAUGAUGGACAAGUCGCCAAGUACAAGGAUGAAGGAGCACGACGAGAGGAACCGGAGAAAGGCUACAGGGCCCGGACAUCCGGCCAGGCCCCGGACAUCCGGCCCCUCCCGCAAGCCCAGACAUCCGGCCCUAGCCCGGAAAUCCGGCGCUCAUCGCAGAAGACACCCGUAGCUGAACCACUUCAGCCCGGACAUCCGGCCAGAGGCCUGGACAUCCGACUCUUCCCGAGCCGCCGGAUAUCCGGCCCCCUGCCCGGACAUCCGGACCCCGCUAUCCAGAGAGCUCCGAGACCGGCCACACUGAUGCGGAGCAUCCUACGGUCAUCACCAUGUCAAGAGUCCGUUUGGCAAGUGACACGUGCGACCUCUACUUCUCAUACAUAAAGGUGAAUCUUCUCCUUUACACUUGCUCACUUGACCCCUUCGAGGAUGGUAUACUACUUGACACUUCUCCCGUGUGCAUGCAUAGGUAUUGUCGGAGCUUCACGGAUGUUGAGGAGGAGUGCAAGCGCCAAGGAACAACUACACCAUCCCCAAGGGAAGCCUAGAAGCGACGACGGAGACAACCCCCAGGACCCGGACAUCCGACCCCUGGAGCAUCUCCCACAGCAGCCGCCUAGCCGCCAAGUACCUACAGGCCCCGGACAUCCGGCCCGCAAGCCCAGACAUCCGGCGCAUCCCGACAGCUCGGACAUCCGGCCAUAAGCCUGGAAAUCCGACGCCCCUAUCCAGAGAGCACCGAGGCUGACCUCACCAGCCCGGACAUCCGGCCCAUGCCCCGGACAUCCGGCCUCCCAUGAACGCCCGAAAAUCCGGCCCCCAGCCCGGACAUCCGGCACCUGGCCGCACGCAGAGGCGGGCCAAAGGCCCAUGUAUCCCCUCCUCACUUACCCCUUCGUGGACUAGCCUAUAUAAACUCGAUCCCCUUCCUCUAGUUAGGGUUAGCAAAUAUGAUAGCUCAUUCUUAGGUGAGCUUUGCUCCUACCUCUACUCUUGAGAGAGAGAGAGACUACCACUCCCAUGGAGUUCAAGACCUCCAUGUGAGAAGAUCAUGUGGGAUAUCAUCAAGACCCCCUUGUGGGAAGAUCCAUCUAGGAUAUCAUCAGGACCUCCUCUUGGAGAUGAACCUUACCUUGUAUAUUUCCCUUUGUUGUUCAUGUAUCUUGUGAUCUUGUGUGUUUGAUUGUCUAGUGGAUGUGUGAUUGGACUUGUUCUUGAGUAUUUCUCCUUGUGAUUUCUCCCCGUUCUUCCCAGUGUUCAUCAUGUUCUUCGAGGGAUCCCACUCCAAUCGUGAAAUAUCAGCCUACACCGGGUUAACCCCGUAUCAUAUGGUAUCAUGAGCCACGUUGAUCACGUUUUUGGAGCCCCUACCCCGUGUUUUCUAGCUUGAUUUUCUUGAUUUCGUCCUAAAUCCGAAAAUCCCCACCAAAAAUAGCCCCCAAAAUUUUUGUGAUUUGUUGGUUUGAUGAUGUUUUGUUGAUUUUGAUCCAUGUAUUUGCUUGGUUUCAAGUGGAUCUAGCAUCUCCCCAAGUUUCCCCACUUUCCAUCCACAAAAUCUCCCCAAUUUUGCCCUCAAAAUCAUCAAUUUCAGCCCAAAAAUCGAGUUCCUCGAGUUCAUCCUCGGAUUUGGAGCCCGAACAUCCGGCCCGAGCCCCGGACAUCCGGCCAGCCCGUAAAUCCGGCCAAUAGCCCAGACAUCCGGCUCCUGGAGUGCAUUUUCGCACAAGUUUCUGGACAUCAGGUCCCGGAAAUCCGGCCCGACCCCCGGAUGUCCAGCCCCUGGGAUUUCUGAUUUCCCCGUUUCACCGUUUCGGCCAUAACUAAUUCAUCCGGAGUCCGAUUUUGACGUUCUUUAGCUCGUUUUGAAGCUAUUGACAUCCCCCAUCCCACAAAAAUACAAACAGCAUCAUUUGACUCCAUCAAAUUUUUGAAAAUUUGGCAAGUUUGCCUAGGCCUUCCACCAUAUCAUCUGCAUAGCCACCACCGACUUGCGCAACCUAACCCAUUUUGUUCCCCAUAGCAUUAGUGGUUGCUUGAGUAGUGAUUCGAGUCUCCUAAGGUGUUUCUGCUACUUAGGGACGAUUGCUUCUUCAUCAACUACCAACACCACUUCCGCAUAGGCGUGCCCCCAUACACUUCCGCCACCCCCAACUUAACCCAAUAGUUGUUUGAGCUUGUUUGAGUUGUGGCUUGUGUCUCCUAAGGUGUUUUGGCUACUUAGGGACGGCAACUUCAACUCCAACACGUGUAUAGCCCACCAUUCCACUUCCUCAUUGCCAAGUGCAAACCACCACCGCAUUCCCGCUACCACCAUUUUGACAUUUGUCCUCGAGAUUUUGAGCUGUGGUUUUUCUGUUUCCUAAGGUGUUUCGGCUACUUAGGGACGAGUCUCCAUCAUCUUGUUAUCUACAUCAAGAACACCACCACUCAUCAUCGCCAAGGACGGUAACCUCGACGACACCAUUGUAUAUUACCCUUGCAAUUGCAUUGAUAACCCCUUAGCCCAUUUUGCGUUACUUGCCUAUCGAGACUAGCCAUUUGAGUAUUGCCGGCAACAUGACUUGUGCACAUUAGUGAUCAUACUUCCCAUAGCAUACAUACCAUAUCAUAUUGGUAUCAUCAUAUCAUCUCUUGUGUCACAAGCUUGUUCCCGCAUAUACACAAUUGAUAUCUUGGUUUGUGCAUUGUGCAAAAGCGGCCAUAGAAAAAAAAUAAAGCUCUUAAGCAAAAGAAAGAGAGCAAAGAAGCUUGUAAGCAAGUGCCAUAGCAUCAUACCACAUUGCAUAUAAGAUUGUCAUAUCCGAUCAUCUUGGAUCAUCUUGAGAGAAACACUGGGAACCAUACAUACAUAGCAUACUUGGGAUAGAAGUUUAUCCAUUUUGCAUCUUAUAGGUUGUGCACAAGUGUCGUAUCCGCCUAUUGAGCAAUCGUGCUAGCGUCUCCCUUGAGUUGUGCAACACGAGCGUUUUCCGUGGAUUCCACAUUUUGUGCUCAUUCCUUGGUUGCACGACCCCAUUUAUCUAUCCGUGUGUGUGUUUCCGUGUGCCAUUCUUUGCUAUUGGUCCAUUUGUUUCACUUGCGAAUUUGUGAAUCUUUUUCAACAUUAUUGACUCUUGCUAACAUUUUGCAUCAAAUUUUUGUGCCACUAUCCUCACCGAGCUCCACCAUAAGCCUUAUUUGUGUAGGUGUGAGAAACCGACAAGAAUUGGUACCAAUUGUGCUAUUUCCUUGUUACACAUUGAGUGGUCAUUGAUCCAUCUUCAACAUCGGUCAAGGUACAUUUGGUAUAAGUUCUUCUAUUUCUCCCACUCAUAUUUGCUCGAGUCUUGUGAUGGAUAGGCAAGGCAUUUCACCCUCGGUCUACAACAACAACAACUAGUUCGAUGCCACGAACAACUCCAACGAUGCCAAGAUGCAAUCUCAAAUGGAGGAGAUCAAAGCACUCAUCAAGUCCUACAAGAGAUCUUCCUCAUCUUCGAGAAGACGCUCAAGUGCACAUGCUUCCGAGCUACCAUCUCCGGCAAGAUCACAUCAGCAUCGACACCAUCACCACCAAGAACGUGAAGGUCACGAGCUCAACACCAACAACCGCUCAAUGACUUCACCAUCACCCUUGGCAUCUUCGCCAAGCGACUUCAAGGCAUCUUCGCCUUUGGAUAUAUGGCAUCUUCGCCAACAAGCACCUCAAGACUACGCUCAAGAGAAGCUCCCCAAGCUCAAGUCCACGACCUCCACGAGCUACUACGACCUCGACACCGACCAUGAGAUUCCUUUCUAUGGGACUCUAGAACCCGAGGAGUAUCUCAAGUGGGAGCGUUUGAUGGACGACUACCUCAAGCUACAUCAAGUUCCUCCCGAAGAUCAAGUGAAGUGCGCCACAAGAAACUUCCACGACUACGCCUCAACAUGGUGGCUUCACACACCUUCGGAAAGCUACGACAUGAGUUGGCCCAAGACGAAGAAAGCUUUGCGGCGAGAGUUUGUCCUCCAACCUACUCGGAACAACUUCUACGCCAAUUGGAGAACACCAUCCAAGGAUCCAAGUCCAUCGACAAGUACUUCAAGGAGAUGAAGAAAGCCUUGCGACGUGCCGGCGUGGAUGACCCCAUGUCAAUGAAGUUCCACUUCAUGAUGGGAUUGAACAAUGACAUCUCCAAGACUAUCUUCCUCGAGAACUACAAGUCCCUCGACGACAACUACAUUGGUGCUCUCAAGGCGGAACAAGAACUAAUGAAGGCCAAGGCUUCUCCACCCCAAGCACACUUCUCGAAGACCAAACUCAAAGACGACGAGCAUGAGGCUAGUACCACCAAGAUGUCCAAGCCCGAUGAGCUCCAAGACGAUGCUCCCAAGUUCGACUUAACCGCCAUCCCUCUUUGUGGCAUUGAUGAUGUCGAGUCCUCCAUGACUCUUUUUCAAGAUGGUGCGGCAACGAGUACGACUACGGAGACCAUCAAGGACCAUGCUUUGGAGGCGAGCAACUUGGUGACGAGCAAGGAUGAUGCUUCCAUCUUAGGAGGCGAGAGCGAUGAUGUGCCAUCUCCGGCCUUCAUCCAUGGUAACAACAACGAGAUGGUUGAGCAUGGGAUUUUCCCUUCGACCAUGGCGACGUAUGAUGACUUGAGUGACUUGUGCCACCAUAUUGAGAGUGAGAGUGACUUCACCACUAGCCACAUAUGUGAUGUGUUGCCCCAAUUCCCAUGUGAGGAGAGCCACAACACCCACCACUUGAUUGAGAUGAGUGACUCCACCAUAUGUGACUUUGAGUGCACCUACCUUGAGGGAGUGAGUGAACCACCACAUAGAGAGAGUGAGGCCACUUCGAUUUCUAACGACUUAACAUCUACCUCUAUUGUGUCUUCUCAUUUGGUGCUAGGUCCCAUAUAUGAUGAUGCGCCGAUUCGCGACGACUACGUCCUUCCUUUGGACAAGAUGAUGGCCAUGGUGGAAUACGAUGCACCCCCCACAUGGUUCCAUCAAGAUGAAGAUGACCACCACUUGGUCUUUGCCACCUCACCUACACAACUUGAGUGGAAUGAACAAGGUAACAUAGGUGAAGGUGAUGCUCUUGUCCCACUAGUGGACAUUCUUGACAUUGAUUGCUUGCAUGAUGUUGAUCAACCUAUUUCCAUGCUUCAUGCUAGUGCGACUCCCUCAUGUCUUGACUUGCCAAUUUAUGAUGAAUAUGAUGAUGAGCAUGUUGAGUUGCCUAGUUGUGAUGCCAUGUUACAUAGGAUUUCUUGUGAAAAUUCUUUAGGUCACAUCAUGUUUGACAACCCGCUUGACUUGUCAUAUGCUAUGCAUGAGAUCAAUCAUAUGUCAUAUUUGCAAUCUCUUCAUAGUGACUAUGCAUAUGCCAUUAAAAUAAACCCAAUUUGCACUUAUGGCAUGGAUGACAAGCCCAUGGUUAUUGGCAUUUGUUUUUCUUGUGAUGAUAUUGAUAUGCUUCCUUUGCAUCAUUUAUCUCAUAUGCCAUGCCAUGACUACCUAGCUUCGGAUAUGCAUUGUUUUGGAUGUUGUCCAUUUUCUCCAUAUGAUGUUUCCAAUAUUGCUCAUGAGGAGACCCCCAUAGUUUCCUCAUACAUUUUAGGAGAUUUUGAUUCAUCCUAUCCAUUGCAUGAUCCCAAUACUUGUGUGCACAAUAUGCUUCCCAUGAAUAAACAUGCUAUUGAUGUGCCAUAUACUUGCAUUCUCAAUUUGUGUCCCCAUCGUGUCAUAUACAAUAACUAUUCUUUCAUGAUGGAUGACAUGUUCUUGUACCAUGCAUCAAAUUUCUUUGAGUGAUGCUUAUCUUGUGCUAACACUCACUUGCACAUACACAUCAUGAUGGAUGAUGUGUACAUUUACCACACACACAAUUUCUUUCGUUUAUGUCUCUGUUGUGUAGGUACCCAUGAAUACUUGUCAACUUCGCAAUCCCACGAGUUAACAAAACGAGCUAUAGAGAGCAAUGAUGACUUGGGAUCCCAUGGAUUGCCUUUCCCACCGCUCACUUCGCGCAAACACUUCGCGCAUUUCUUUUACAUGGCCCUCACAUGGUUAUGGGUUGUUGUCCAUUAUAUAUCCUUUGCCCAUCUUGCCAUGUUCACUUUGCAUGAUAUGCCCAUUCCUAUGCCUUUGCCAUGCAUUUGUGACCCAUGCUUUGCAUUACACAUGAUGAUUGAUUCUAGUACUUGUAUGUGUAUUCACAAGCGUGGUGGAGAUAUUGUUUGUUAUUGCCAUGAUUGCUUUGUGCCCCAUGCCUAUGAUGACACUAUGAUCUUGAUUUGUGUUCGUGCUUGCGAUAUGUCAUGUACAUUGCCUAUGUCUAUUCUUUGCUCACAUGACAUGAUUGCCAUGAUUCCCUCUAGUGUGUUGCAUCUUUGCUCCACUAGUUUGCACGACUUGAUUACUAUGAUUGCUUGCCUUGUUGCAUCACCGAUGAUUCAUACUUGCUCACUUCAUGCGGUUGAUGACAACCAUUUCCAUGCUUUGCACAUGAUUGUUAUUGCUCCUUGUCAUUUAUCUCCAUGUGUUGCCUCUCUCAUCCUAGAUGAUUUGACAUGUAUUGAGUGCAACAAUGCCCUUAGUCUUGAUAAUGAGUUUGCCCCCAUAGCAUUCUCACAUAUAAUUGGAGAUUUUGACAUAUUCCUUGUGAAGCAUGCUUGUCUUACCUCUUUGCAACAUAUACCCCGUGCCAUGAAUAUAGCCAUUGUUGCAUCAUAUUAUUCAUGCACUUGUGCUUCUAAUGGUUAUGUGCAAAAGAAGAGAACCAUCAUGAUGGAUGAUGUGUUUAUCAACCAUGCGCAUACGUUCUUUGUUUUGUUGUGUGCAUGUGUAGGAUACUUGAACUUUGUGUCGACUUCCAUGUCACGUGAGUUGACCAUUCGAGCUCUUGAGAGCAAACCACCUUCUACCACGACGAUUCUACAUCGCACUUGUUUGUGCUUCGGCAUUGGGAAGGAUGCACAAGGACACGCCUUCAAGGUGACAUCUUUCUUGAGGAUGGAUAUUGCGGAUCAUACUACUUGUGUUGCUUGCACGAUGAGACUUAUUGUUCAUCUUGGAUCACUUGAUUGCACACUUGUUAGAGAUUUUGCUUCAACUUGUCAUUUCACCGUUCCAUGCAUCAUGAUAUAUAUGCCUUGUGUGUUGCAUCCAAUUCUUGGAUUACUUGCUCCUCUCACAUGUCUGGUUGCAACAAUGUCAUUACAUCACAUAUGCCAUGUCCCAUUGAUUGCUACAUGCUUGACUUGAUUGCCUCACACAUGAUGAACAAUUGCUCUUUCUAUUGUGUUGAGUGCCACACUAUAUUCACUACACCCUAUGCACAUUAUGCUUGGAUUGUCUUGCACUUGACCCAUGUGUUUAGACAUCUCAUCUUAUUUGGUGUUGUGAAUGAUUCCUAUGCCUACCAUCGACCAUUUGUCGAGCGCUUUAUGCAUGCUUGCUAUGACCUUGAGGUGGAUGCUUAUGCUCUUGUCACACAUAUUUGCAUCUCUACCUCACAUUUGCAUACUUGUCCCCAUGAUAUCUUUGCUUCUGCUCAAUUGAUAUGCUUACAUCCCAUGUCGCAAUCCUUUGUCACACCCGAUGCUAUGCUUGAUGACGACACUUGUUUGGUGAACCACCUCUUGAAUGCUUGGUUUUGCACUAACGCUAACCACAUUUGUUUUUCCAAGUGUUUGUUGUUCUGGCUUCUUUUGAAGGAAUCACUAGACGGUGCGACAUUGGAGAGUGCCCAUUUCGAGUUUCAAGAUGAUGAGUGCUGUGUGACCGACCACUUCGACAUAGCACCGCCAUCUCUUUCCCAUGGUGAUUUGGUUUUCGAUCCGAGGUCGGAUCUUUUCCAAGGGGGAGGGGAUGAUGCGGAGCAUCCUACGGUCAUCACCAUGUCAAGAGUCCGUUUGGCAAGUGACACGUCCGACCUCUACUUCUCAUACAUGAAUCUUCUCCUUUACACGUGCUCACUUGACCCCUUCGAGGAUGGUAUACUACUUGACACUUCUCCUGUGUGCAUGCAUAGGUAUUGUCGGAGCUUCACGGAUGUUGAGGAGGAGUGCAAGCGCCAAGGAACAACUACACCAUCCGCAAGGGAAGCCUGGAAGUGACGACGAAAGAAGACGGAGACAACCCCCAGGACCCGGACAUCCGGCCAGGACCCCGGACAUCCGGCCCCUGGAGCAUCACCCACAGCAGCCGCGCAGCCGCCAAGUACCUACAGGCCCCGGACAUCCGGCCUGCAAGCCCGGACAUCCGGCGCCUCCCGACAGCCCGGACAUCCGGCCAUAAGCCCAGAAAUCCGACACCCCUAUCUAGAGAGCACCGAGGCCGACCUCACCAGCCCGGACAUCCGGCCCAUGCCCCGGACAUCCGGCCUCCCACGAACGCCCGGACAUCCGGCCCCCAGCUCGGACAUCCGGCGCCUGCCUGCGCGCAGAGGCGGGCCAAAGGCCCAUGUAUCCCCUCCUCACUUACCACUUCGUGGACUAGCCUAUAUAUUCUCCAUCCCCUUCCUCUAGUUAGGGUUAGCAAAUAUGAUAGCUCAUUCUUAGGUGAGCUUUGUUCCGACCUCUACUCUUGAGAGAGAGAGACUACCACUCCCAUGGAGUUCAAGACCUCCAUGUGAGAAGAUCCUGCGGGAUAUCAUCAAGACCCCCUUGUGGGAAGAUCCAUCUAGGAUAUCAUCAAGACCUCCUCUUGAAGAUGAACCUUACCUUGUAUCUUUCCCUUUGUUGUUCAUGUAUCUUGUGAUCUUGUGUGUUUGAUUGUCUAGUGGAUGUGUGAUUGGACUUGUUCUCGAGUGUUUCCCCUUGUGAUUUCUCCCCAUUCUUCCCCGUGUUCAUCGUGUUCUUCGAGGGAUCCCACUCCAAUCGUGAAAGAUCGGCCUACACCGGGUUAACCCCGUAUCACACACCAACCAGCCCGGACAUCCGGCCCGCGCCCCGGACAUCCGGCCUCCCACGAGCGCCCGGACAUCCGGCCCCCAGCCCGGACAUCCAGCGCCUGUCUGCGCACAGUGAACGGGCCAAGGGCCCAUGUAUCCCCCCUCUCACUUACCCCUUCGUGGGCUAACACUAUAUAUAGACCCCCACCUCCUCCUAGUUAGGGUUAGCAAAGGAUUAGCUCAUAUUUUGUGUGAGAGCCUUGCUCAUCCACUUGGUUACUUCUCCUCGGAGCUCAGGACCUCUACGGAGAAGAUCCCCCAAGCGGAUUCAAGACCUCUUCAAGGGAAGACCAUCAAGACCUCCUCACGGAGACGAACCCGGUUACCUCUUGUAUCUUCCUUUGUUGACUUUGGAUUGUGUAUCUUACCUUUGUGUUCAUCGAUCUAGCGCAUGUGUGAUCUAUUCUUGUUGGUUGAGUGAUUUCUCUCGUGUUCCCCUCGUAUUCCCCUCGUGUUUCCCCUCGUGUUCAUCACGUUCUUCGUAGGGAUCCGCUCCUUUCAUGAAAGAUCGGCCAUCUAGGGUUCCACCCUACAUCAUCUUGGUAUCAUGAGCCACGUUGAUCAUGAUUUCGGAGCCUCCCCGUUGUGUUUUCUAGCCUAGUUUUGUUGAUUUUGUCCCAAUUUCGAAAAUCCCCACCAAAAAUAGCCCCAAAUUUUUUUGUGAUUUGUUGGUGUGAUGAUGUUUUGUUGAUUUUGAUCCAUGGAUUUGCUUGGUUUCGAGUGGAUCUAGCACUUCCCCAAGUUUCCCCACUUUCCAUCCACGAAAUCUCUCCAAUUUUGACCUUGAAAUCUUCCAUUUCCGCCCCAAAAUCGAGUUCCUCGAGUUUAUCCUCGGAUUUGGAGCCCGGACAUCCGGCCCGACCCCCGGACAUCCGGCCAUCCCGGAAAUCCGGCCAUUAGCCCGGACAUCCAGCUCCUGGAGCGCAUUUUCGCGCAAGUUUCUGGACAUCAGGCCCGGAAAUCCGGCCCGACCCCCGGAUGUCCGGCCCCUGUAGAUUUCAGCCUCCCCGUUUCACCGUUUCGGUCAUAGCUAAUUCAUCCGGAGUCCGUUUUUGACGUUCUUUAGCUCGUUUUGAAGCUAUUGACAUCCCCCAUCGCACAAAAAUACCACCAACAUCAUUUGACUCCAUAAAAUUUUGUGAAUUUUGGCAUCUUUGCCUAGGCCCUCCACCAUAUCAUCUGCAUAGCCACCACCGACUUCCGCAAUCUAACCCAUUUUGUUCCCCAUAGCAUUUGAGGUUGUUUGAGUAGUGACUUGAGUCUCCUAGGGUGUUUCGUCUACUUAGGGAUGGUUGCUUGUUCAUCAACCACAACCACCACUUCCACAUAACCUUGCCCACCAUACACUUCCGACACCCCAAAUAACCCAAUUGUUGUUUGAGCUUUUUCGAGUUGUGGCUUGUGUCUCCUAAGGUGUUUAGGCUACUUAGGGACGGCAACUUCAACUUUGACACGUGUAUAGCCCGUCAUUCCACUUCCGCAUUGCCAAGUGCAAACCACCACCGCAUUCCCGCUACCACCAUUUUGACAUUUGACGUUUGAGAUUUUGAGUUCGCGGUUUUUCCAUUUCCUAAGGUGUUUCGGCUACUUAGGGACGAGUCUCCAUCAUCUUGGUAUCUACAUCAAGAACACCGCCCCUCAUCAUCAUCAAAGGACGGUAACCUCGACAACACCAUUGUAUAUUCCCCUUGCAAUUGCAUUGUUAACCCCUAGCCCAUUUUGCGUUACUUGACUAUCGAGACUAGCCAUUUGAGUAUUGCCGGCAACGUUACUUGUGCACAUUAGUGGUCUACACCUUCCAUUGCAUACAUACCAUAUCAUAUUGGUAUCAUAUCAUCCCUUGUGUCACAAGAUUGUUCCCGCAUAUACACAAUUGCUAUCUUGGUUUGUGCAUUUCGCAAAGUGGCCAUACAAAAAAAAGAAUAAGCUUUUAAGAAAAAGAGAAAGAGCAAAGAAGCUUGUAAGCAAGUGCCAUAGCAUCAUACCACAUUGCAUAUAAGAUUGUCAUAUCCGAUCAUCUUGAGAAACACAGGGAACCAUACAUACAUAGCAUACUUGGGAUAGAAAGUUUAUCCAUUUUGCAUCUUAUUGGUUGUGCACAAGCCGCCUAUUGAGCAAUCGUUCUAGCGUCUCUCUUGAGUUGUGCAACACGAGCGUUUUGGUGGAUUCCACAUUUUGGGAUCAUUCCUUGGUUGCACGACCCCAUUUAUCUAUCCUUGUGUGCGUUUCCGUGUGCCAUUCAUUGCUAUUGGUCUACUUGUUUCGCAUGCAAAUUUGUGAAUCUCUUUCAACAUUAUUGACUCUUGCUAACAUUUUACAUCAAAUUUUUGUGCCACUAUCCUCACCGAGCUCCACCAUAAGCUUUACUUGUGUAGGUGUGAGAAACCGACAAGAAUUGGUACCAAUUGUGCUAUUUCCUUGUUACACAUUGAGUGAUCAUUGAUCCAUUUUCAACAUCGGUCAAGGUACAUUUGGUCUAGUUCUUCUCUUUCUCCCACUCAUAUUUGCUCGAGUUUUGUGAUGGGUAGGCAAGGCAUGUCAUCUCCGGUCUUUGACAACAACGACGGCGUGAACAACUACAUCACCUAAGCGUCCAUCUUCGAUCUACAACGACAAGUGCAAGGCGCACAAUCAAGAUUGCGAGAGCGCAUCGAGAACCUCUUCAUCGACAUUCAUCUCUCCGAAGCAAGGAGAAGGGACUACUUCGACAAGAAGCUUGCCGCACAUAAAGAGGAGCAAGAUGCAAUGAUGGAGGAGAUUUGAACCUUUCUCUAGUCUACUUCCCCUUCAUCAUCGUCAAGACGACGAUGUUCAAACCACAAGUCUUCGGAGCGCCCAAGCGAUGCAAGCGCAAGUCGUCCACAUCUCCAUGGCGACCACCAUCACGUUCGUGAUCCACAUCGUCAUGAAGGGCAAGUCACCUCCAAGCAUCAUGUGCACGACGACGACGAACGACAUCUACUACGAUCUCAAGUGCGACAACGACACCAUCAUCAUGAAGAUGCUCAACAAGCGCAAAGGCACAAGUCCCAACAAGCCCUACUUCACACCAAGUCCAAGCUUCAAGAGCACAAAAGAAGACCGCGAGACGACCACCACCAAGACGGCGCUACGGCUACAUCACCCACUUCGGCAUCUUCGCCAAGUGUUCUCAAGGCAUCUUCGCCUUUGGACGUACGACGUCUUCGCCUACUUCCCACGAGUAUGCCUACAACGACUUCAUCAAGUCCAAGGCGACCACCUACGAGCGAGGGCUACACUUCCAUCUUUGGAAGCCCCCCAAGGAAGAUGGCCGAGCAUGGGACACUCCCUUCGGUCAUGGAGACGAGCUACGAGGUGCCACAUCAUAUGGGCCUCCAACAACAAGACGGUGACAAGAAGGUUGAGCAUGGGACUAUCCCUUCAACCAAGGCGGCGAUAGGAGUUGAGCAUGGAGACAUUUGCACCUACAUCUCUCCGACACCCACAUAUGUCGAGAUGCCCCAAGUGCCAUGUGAGGAGAGCCACCACCACAUGAGAGAGAUGAGUGACUCCACCAUACGUGACACUGAGAGCAUUUCCUAUGAGAGGAUGAGUGUGACCACCACUAGCCCCACACAUGAGAGCAUGCCACACAUCCUAUGUGAGGUUGAGCGCCAUUUGAGUGACUCCACCAAUCAUUUGAGUGAGAUCAUCCUUGAGGGAGUGGGUGAGCCACAACACAUAGUGAGUGAGGUAGUUGACACGGCAUGUGAGGCCACCAUGAAUUCUAACGACUUAACCUCUACUCCUAGUGUGUUUUCUUCUUUGGUGCUAGGUCUCCUACAUGAUGAUAUGCCUAUCCUCGACGAGUCCAUACCUCCAAUGGAGAUGACGAUGGCCAUGGUGGAUGAUGAUGCACCCCCCGCAUGGUUCCAUCAAGAUGAAGAUGACAACGAGACGAUCUUCAACACCUCACCUACAACUCAUGAGCGACCUUCCAAAGGUAACAUAGGUGAUGGUGCUUCUCUUGUCCCACUAAUGGACUCUCUUACCAUCGAUUGCUCCCAUGAUGUUGACCCACCUAUUCCCAUGCUUCAUGCUAGUGAGACUUCUUCAUGCCUUGACUUACCUAUUUAUGAUGAAUAUCAUGAUGAGCAUGUUGAGUUGCCUAGUUGUGAUGUCAUGCUCCAUAGGAUAUCUUGUGAAAAUUCUAUUGGUCACUUCAUGUUUGACAAUCCAUUGAACUUGUCAUAUGCUAUGAGUGAGAUCUCCCAUAUUGCAUCAUUUCAAUCUCAACAUAGUAACUAUGCAUGCCCCAUUGAAAUAAAUCCCAUUUGCACUUAUGGCAUAGAUGACGAAAUGAUGGUCAUUGGCUUUUGCUUCUCUUGUGAUGAUAUUGCCAUGCUUCCUUUACAUGAUUUGCGCAAUUCAUCUACUAUUACAUGCCAUGAUCACAUUGUUCCAAAUAUGCAUUGUUUUGGAUGUUGUCAAUAUUCUCCACGUGAUGUUUCUACUCUUGCUCAUGAGGAGACCCCCAUAGUUUCCUCAUACAUAUUAGGAGAUCUUGAUGCAUUUCAUACUUCUGCAUGAUUCCCAUGAUAGUGUACACCAUAUGCAUUCCAUGAAUAACAAUUCUCUAGAUAUUUCUCAUGAUGCAUUACAUCCUUUGAGUCUCCAUUAUGCCAUGCAUAACAACAAACCUAUCAUGAUGGAUGACAUGUUUCUAUAUCACACAUCUCAUUUAUUCGAGCAUUGGAUAUUUUGUGCUAACCGAUACAUGCAUGUGCGCAUCAUGAUGGAUGAUGUGUACAUCUACCCCGCACACACAAUUUUCCCUUUGUCUUUGUUUUGUGUAGGUACUCACAUAUACUCGUCAACUUCUCAAUCCCAUGAGUUGACGAAACGAGCUCUUGAGAGCAACGAUGACUUGGGAUCCCGUGGACUAUCAUUCCCACCAUUCCUUUUGCGCAAAGACUACGCACAUCUCUUUUACUUGUCUCUCACACGGCUAUGGGCUAUUUACCACUUGUCACAUUAUGCCCAUUCUAUCGUGUUCACUUUGCAUGUUAUGCAUCUUUACAUGACUUUGCCAUGCAAUUGUGACCCUUGCUUGCAUUUACCCAUGAUGCACCAUUAUGAUACUCCUAUGUGUAUUUGCAUGCUUGGUGGAGAUCCUUGUUGCUAUUGCCAUGUUUAUCAUGUGCCCCAUUCUAUUGAUGCUAUUUUGCUCAUAUCUUGCCUUUAUGCUUGUGAAAUGUAAUGUGCAUUUUGUAUGCCCACUAUUUGCACACAUGACAUGCUUGCCAUGAUUCCUUCUAGUACAUUGCAUCUUCGCACUACUAGCUUGCUUGACUUGAUCUCUAUGAUUGCUUGCUAUGUUGCAUCACCCAUGUUCCACUAUCACUUGCUUUCUUGGGUUGAUGACAUAUAUGUUCAUGCCUCUCACAUGAUAUAUCUUGUUUAUUGUCGCUUGCCUCCUAUAGUUGCCUCUAUGCUUAAUGAUAUUGGAGACUUGGACACUUCACUUGUGAUGCAUGCUUGUUUGAUUGAGCCUAUUGCAUUUGGUUGUUAUCGCAUCAUAUGCCUCCAUACUAAGAAAUGCUCCCUUGCCCUUUCUCAUGAUGAGCAUGAUGCAUACACUUGUUGGGUAUCUUACCACACGAAUGAUAGGUUUUGCACUUCCGCUAACCUCAUUUGUUUUUCCGAGUGUUUGCCAUGUUCUUUCAUUUUGAAGGAUUCACAAGGCGGUAACAUCACGAGACAACUUGGUUAUGUGAAGGCAUACAAGAUGCACAACUCCAUCAUUCUUGAGAACCUCCUAAAGGUGACCUCCUUCCCUUUGAGCCAUCUUUAAAUAUGCAUAUUGGAUGGGCCAUACUUUCGUUGUUGUUUCCUUCUUGUUGUCUACAUGAUACAUCUAUUGGAUGGAGGACCGACAUUGGAGAUGGACCCUAUGGACUUUCAAGUUGAGGAGUGCCACGACAUCGAGCUAUGGUACAACACCACCCAUGAAAAAUUUACACCAUAUGCAUGGCUUGACACACAUUAUGAUUGUCUUGUUGCACCUAUUCCCAUGUCAUCCAUGAUAUAUGAGCUUGUGCAUUUUCUUAGCAAAUUUGUUGUGAUCUUUCUUGAUGGCAUAUUCAUACAUCGUGAUCAUAUUGCCUACCAUCAAUUGCAUGAUAACAUACACAUGUUGAGCAUCCAUUGCCAUAUUCAUGCUAUUGAUAAACUGUCUCACUAUGACAUCACUUUGCACCGUGGUUGCAUUGAUCAUAUUUACAACACAUUUGUGUGCACAAUGAAUGCUUUUGCUCCCAUGAAUGCUUUACAUCUCAUUCCAUAUCAUCUUGCUAAGCUUCAUGUGCUUUGUCAUGAACAAUCUUGCCUCACGGACUCAUUCUUACAUGAUGGACACUUUGUGUGUGCUAACCAUUAUAUUUCCGAGUGUUGCUUGUGUUUGGUCUUUUUGCAUGUCUAUCACUCCGGAGACACCUUGGAGUACUUGGAUUGCACCAUGACUUCCACUACAUCCAACUACAAGUUCGUCCACGACAACCGUUUCCAUGGUGAUGAGCUUUUUGAUCCGAGGUCGGAUCCUUCCCAAGGGAGGGGAGAUGAUGCAGAGCAUCCGACGAUCAUCCCCAUGUACACUCGAGCCUACGUCAUUGGACCUAAGGUCAACCCGCUCCUAAAUGCUUCUCCUUUCCAUUCAUGUGAGACAUGGUUACUACCUAAUGCAAGGACACUACACAUGCCUAGGUACCAAGGAGACCCUCUCGGUGAUGCUCGGAAUGAUGGACAAGUCCCCAAGUACAAGGAUGAAGGAGCACGACGAGAGGAACCGGAGAAAGGCUACAGGGCCCGGACAUCCGGCCAGGCCCCGGACAUGCGGCCCCUCCCGCAAGCCCGGACAUCCGGCCCCAGCCCGGAAAUGCGGUGCUCAUCGCAGAAGACACCCAUAGCUGAACCACUUCCGCCCGGACAUCCAGCCAGAGGCCCGGACAUCUGGCUCUUCCCGAGCCGCCGGAUAUCCGCCCCCCAGCCCGGACAUCCAGACCCCGCUAUCCAGAGAGCUCCGAGACCGGCCACACCAGCCCGGACAUCCGGCCCGCGCCCCGGACAUCCGGCCUCCCGCGAGCGUCCGGACAUCCGGCCCCUAGCCCGGACAUCCGACGCCUGUCUGCGCACAGUGAACGGGCCAAGGGCCCAUGUAUCUGAUGAGGACAUCAAUACCAUUGUUACACCCACAACCCCUGCUGCUAUAUAUACUGGACCAAUUACUAGAGCUCGCGCACGCCAACUAAAUUACCAGGUACUUUCGUUUCUUGGUAAUGAUUCUAAUGUUCAUGAGAAUAUGAUGCUGCCUAAAUUGGAUACAUUUGUUUUGCUUACAAAUGAAGGGACUAGCUUGGAGAAGGAUGAACAUUGGAGCAAGAACAAGCAUGGAGAUGAUGGCAUGCGCAAGGGGAACAAGAACAGAGUUACAAGUGAUGAUUUCAGGACUUUGAAGCCACCAUAAUGAGUACAUGAAGCCUUGGACAAAAUAUACAAGAUGCCACUUCAUAAACUUCGUCCAGAGGCUAUUCUAGGUGCUGCGUCACCUUAUUAUUGGGCCAGGCCCAUGUAAUUUCGAAAUAUAUAAGUAUAGGCUGUUUUUAGAGUCCGUAUGUGUGGGGAAACAAGAGAUAGGGUUGGUUUCGGACCCCUUCCCCAACGGCCACGAAAUUCUCCCCUCUUUCUCCAUAUAUACAGCCCUUAGGGCACCGUUUAGACUUUGGGUUUUGCUUAGAUUAAAAGUUCGCCAUAGCUGCAACUUCGCGCACUUCGUUUGUGUUCAAUGACCAGACCAAGGCAUCACAAAACCCCACCUUGAUCAAUAAAGCUUUGAUCUUAUAUUCACAAUAUCCAGAUUGCAAUCUCAGUUUCUUGCUUGUUCUUCAUUUGCGCGCAGGAAACAGACCCUCGUGGUCAGGUUGAUCAUGCUCUGGCGUGGUCAAUAACCUCUUGGAGUUGGUUUAGCGAUUGCUAAGGCGCGACGUCCUCGCACGUUCGUAGUCGGAUCGUCAAAGUCGAUUUCCACCAAAGCGAUAUCCAUCAUCUCAUCGAAAGACGGGACACCUUUGCCUCUAUCAAGUGGUAUCAGAGCUCCAGGUUGCUCGGUGAGAUUUUACAGUUUUUCGUAGUUUACAUCGAGUCUGUUCUUCAUACCUAUAGUCCGCGAAAAAGCCAAAAAAAAUUAGGGUUAGUUCAUCCCAUCCGAACCAAUCUGAGCCUUUGCAUAAUCUUUUUUGUUUUUGCUUUGUUGAGUUUGCGGUUGCAUCGUCGUGUUAAUUUGCUGGUCUUAGCGUCUAGUCCUUUAGAGUUUCGAGUUCUGUUCACAAGUUGUCACGUCGCCGCUGCCAUAUAUCACCACCGCAUCAUCAUCAUCGCUGCUGCCAUAUACCACCACCGCACCAACUUCAUCGCCGCUGCCAUAUACCACCACCACAUACAUAUUCACUGAUAAUCCGAGUCCAUAUACGCCACCACAUAUCCGCUGCCAUCACGCCAAUCCGAGUCCACCUGCAAAAUAUAUCCGCCACCAGUCCGAGUUCCACUAGAUUCAUCUCCGCCACCAGUCCUAUUCCGAGUCCAGCAUUUUGUUACUCUGUUUUGGAUUUCCAGAUCACGCCAUACUCCGAGUCGUGACAGAGAAGGACUCCCCAACAUCCGUGCUACCCGCAGUAGAAAAAUAGUUCUGAACUCAAAAAAAAAACUAAGUCUGGAAAAUUUUGGCUAGGCAGUUUUUAGGCCAUUUGUAGACUUUUUCGAAAAAAAAUUGUUGCGGAGCAAAAAAAAAAGAGGAAAAAAGUGCAAAAAAAGGAAAAAGAAUUUUAGAGUUUGCUCCUCCCUUGUUUGCGUGCAGCGCCGUGAUUUUGUUAGUGUUCUAGGCUCGCGUCUCUAGCACGGUCUAGCCUAGGACCAGCACAGUACUGUCAUUGAGCGUUUAUUCAACUUUGCGUCUCUAAAUUGAUUAUUGCUGACCCUUUUUGCUACCAUAUUAUAAGCCUUCCCAGCUCCACAUACAUCUACGUCGUGCGUUUGAAUCUCCCUGCUAAUUGCUCUAUCCAACCUUUGAGAGUUUUGACUACAACGGUUGCCGAUCACCACCUGCUGUUGGGUAAGAACUGGUAAGAAUUUGAGAUUUGCUUGACAGGUUUGUGAUACACCACCACCUAUUCCUAGUAGCCUAUAGGAUCAUAUUCUUGUUUAUUUCUAUUUGCUGCUAACCAUGGUAGGAUCACAAGCCGAUGAGACUGAUUGGGAGAACUUGACAAACAAACAACUACAUGAUAAAUUUCAGCAAAUGUUGAGUGGACAGGUGCAAGAUGUGCUAAACAGAUUUGAAGAGGCCAUGGAGAAGAUAGAUGGCAUUGAGAAUACGUUCGAAACAAAGCUUGAUAACAAAUUUAAUGAAUUGCUCGCACGUUUUCCACAACCACCGCCGGCUGCACCUAUUGCACCUCUGCAACGACAACAACAACGCCCCCUUCCGAAUCAGUAUGGACGAGCGCAGCGUGUUCCUCUUGAGGAUGGCCAAACUUCUGGUGCUGUUGUACCUAUUGUUCAUGCUUCUUUGGCUCCUGCUACUGCUGCUGCUGGUACCUAGGAGGAUGAUGAGUAUGCGGGCGAUUAUGAGGAUGAGGUUGAUCAAAAUCAGAACUACGUGCAGCCACCAGCACCACCACCAGCAGGUCGACCUCAGGUAUAUAAUCUCAAUGGUAGGCCUGCACCACCACUUCAGGUACGAGAUCAUGACCAUCUCCCUAAACUGAAAUUGAAUAUUCCACCAUUUGAGGGUAGAUAUGUUCCUGAUAUAUAUCUUACUUGGGAGUUAGAAACUGAACAACGAUUUACAUAUUUACAAUAUCCUGAGGAGAGACGUGUUCCUGCUGCUGUUUGUGCUUUCACUAGCUUUGCAUGUGUUUGGUGGUCUGAACAUUGUCGAUUAUAUCCUGUUCCAGCUACUUGGGCUGCUUUGAAAACUGCUAUGCGUACUCGUUGGGUUCCACCAUAUUAUCAACGUGAAUUACUUCAAAAAUUGCAGCGCUUAAGACAAGGAAAAAAUUCGGUAGAAGAAUAUUAUCAGGAAUUACAAACUGGCUUGAUUAGAUGUGGUAUUGUUGAGGAGAAUGAAGCUAUGCUUGCACGUUUUCUGGGUGGAUUAAAUAGAGAGAUUCAGACCAUUCUAGACUAUAAGGAUUAUAAUAAUAUCACUCGUUUAUUCCAUCUUGCUUGUAAAGCUGAACGUGAAGUGCAGGAUCGACAGGCAUUGGCGCGCACUAACUUUUCUGCAGGUCGACCUUCAUCAUGGACACCACGUGCAUCAUCUACUUCCACUGCACCAUCACCUCCUUCAGGUGCCACCUCCAACCGUGGUACACGAAAGCAGGCACAACCACCACUAUCUGCCAAGAGCACACCUGCCGGACCUGCACAGAGCUCUUCUUCUUCCAUGGCGUCAACAGGGCACACCAGUGAUAUUAUUUGUCGUUGUUGUAAGGGAAGAGGACAUUUUGCGAGAGAAUGCAAAUCUCAGCGUGUGAUGAUUGCUACUGAGGAUGGUGGGUAUGAGUCCGCUAGUGACUAUGAUGAGGAGACUUUGGCUCUUAUUACACAUGAGGAACACGAUGGAGAUGAUUCUGAUCAUGAGACACAAUACAUGGCUGCUGAAGAUGCUGACAGGUAUGAAUGUUUAGUUGCUCAACGUGUUUUGAGUGUGCAGGUUACACAAGCUGAGCAAAAUCAGAGGCAUAAUUUGUUCCAUACAAAGGGAGUUGAGAAGGAACGUUCUAUUCGCGUCAUCAUAGAUGGAGGGAGCUGCAACAACUUGGCUAGCAUGGAGAUGGUGGAGAAGCUAUCUCUCACCACAAGACCACAUCCACAUCCUUACUACAUCCAAUGGUUCAACAACAGCGGCAAGGUUAAGGUAACACGUACUGUUCGUGUGCAUUUUAGUAUCUCUACAUAUGCUGAUUAUGUUGAUUGUGAGGUGGUACCUAUGCAAGCAUGUUCCUUAUUACUUGGUAGACCAUGGCAAUUUGAUAAAAAUUCUGUACACCAUGGUAGAAACAAUCAGUAUACUCUUGUUCAUAAGGAUAAAAAUAUUACUUUGCUUUUUAUGACUCCUGAUUCCAUUUUGAAAGAUGAUAUUAAUAGAGCUAAUAAAGCAAAACAGGAGAAAAAUAAGAGUGAAAAUCAGAUUGUGGCAAAAGAAUUUGAGCAACAAAUGAAGCCUAAUAGUAAACCAUCUAGUGUUGUUUCUAAAAUUAAAUUGAAAAGUGCAUGUUUACUUGCCACUAAAUCUGAUAUUGACGAGCUAGAUUUCAGCAAUUCUGUUUGCUAUGCUUUUGUGUGCAAAGAGGCAUUAUUUUCAUUCGAGGACGUGCCUUCCUCUUUCCCUCCUGCUGUCACUUACAUUUUGCAGGAGUUCGCUGAUGUCUUUCCACAAGACGUGCCACCGGGAUUACCUCCCAUUCGAGGGAUUGAACAUCAGAUUGACUUAAUUCCCGGUGCAUCAUUACCCAACCGUGCACCAUACCGUACCAAUCCAGAGGAGACGAAGGAGAUUAUGCGUCAAGUACAGGAGCUGCUCGACAAAGGUUAUAUACGCGAAUCCCUUAGUCCUUGUGCUGUUCCUAUUAUUCUAGUGCCGAAAAAGGAUGGUACAUCACGUAUGUGUGUUGAUUGUAGAGGCAUUAAUAAUAUUACUAUUCGUUAUCGUCAUCCUAUUCCUAGGCUAGAUGAUAUGCUUGAUGAAUUGAGUGGCUCUACAAAAUUCUCCAAAGUUGAUUUGCG